RNAcentral lists this ribosomal RNA (2854 nucleotides) under Paenibacillus tuaregi. RNAcentral describes it as "bacterial LSU rRNA". The stretch from base 5 to 1721 matches the Rfam family "Bacterial large subunit ribosomal RNA", at positions 15 to 2044 of the family's 2925-position model. Lineage: Bacteria; Bacillati; Bacillota; Bacilli; Caryophanales; Paenibacillaceae. The record is from RNAcentral.
CUAAGAGCACACGGAGGAUGCCUAGGCGCUAGGAGCCGAAGAAGGACGUGGCGAACAACGAAACUGCCUCGGGGAGCUGUAAGCAAGCUUUGAUCCGGGGGUGUCCGAAUGGGGAAACCCGGCUACUGUAAUAGGUAGUCACUCAUACCUGAAUUCAUAGGGUAUGAAGAGGCAGACCAGGGGAACUGAAACAUCUAAGUACCCUGAGGAAGAGAAAACAACAGUGAUUCCGUCAGUAGCGGCGAGCGAACGCGGAACAGCCUAAACCAGAGAGCUUGCUCUCUGGGGUUGUGGGACGUCUCACAUGGAGUUACCAAGGAUUAGGGUAGGCGAAGAGGUCUGGAAAGGCCCGCUAGAAGAGGUAAAAGCCCUGUACCCGAAAGUCUAAUCCCUCCGAGACGGAUCCCGAGUAGUGCGGGGCACGUGAAACCCCGUAUGAAUCCGGCAGGACCAUCUGCCAAGGCUAAAUACUCCCUAGCGACCGAUAGUGAAGCAGUACCGUGAGGGAAAGGUGAAAAGCACCCCGGAAGGGGAGUGAAAUAGAUCCUGAAACCGUGUGCUUACAAGAAGUCAGAGCCCGAUUCUUAAGGGUGAUGGCGUGCCUUUUGUAGAAUGAACCGGCGAGUUACGUUCCCGUGCAAGGUUAAGGUGAAGAGCCGUAGCCGCAGCGAAAGCGAGUCUGAAUAGGGCGAGUUAUAGUACGUGGACGUAGACCCGAAACCGGGUGAUCUACCCCUGUCCAGGGUGAAGGUGCGGUAACACGCACUGGAGGCCCGAACCCACGUAUGUUGAAAAAUGCGGGGAUGAGGUGGGGGUAGCGGAGAAAUUCCAAUCGAACUCGGAGAUAGCUGGUUCUCCCCGAAAUAGCUUUAGGGCUAGCCUCGGAAGAAGAGUCGUGGAGGUAGAGCACUGAUUGGGUGCGGGGCCCGCCAAGGGUUACCAAGCUCAGUCAAACUCCGAAUGCCACAGACUUGUAUCCGGGAGUCAGACAGUGAGUGCUAAGAUCCAUUGUCAAAAGGGAAACAGCCCAGACCAUCAGCUAAGGUCCCCAAGUGUGUGUUAAGUGGGAAAGGAUGUGGAGUUGCACAGACAACCAGGAUGUUGGCUUAGAAGCAGCCACCAUUUAAAGAGUGCGUAAUAGCUCACUGGUCGAGUGACUCUGCGCCGAAAAUGUAACGGGGCUAAACACACCACCGAAGCUAUGGCUUGAUGCUUUGCAUCAGGGGUAGGGGAGCGUUGUGUAUACAUUGAAGGUGUACCGUAAGGAGCGCUGGAGCGUACACAAGUGAGAAUGCCGGUAUGAGUAACGAAAAGAUCAGUGAGAAUCUGAUCCGCCGAAAGCCUAAGGGUUCCUGAGGAAGGUUCGUCCGCUCAGGGUAAGUCGGGACCUAAGGCGAGGCCGAAAGGCGUAGUCGAAGGACAACAGGUUGAAAUUCCUGUACCACCGUAAUCCGUUAUGAGCGAUGGGGUGACGCAGCAGGGUAGUGACGCGGACUGAUGGAUGUCCGUCCAAGCAGUGAGGCUGGUAUGUAGGCAAAUCCGCAUACCAUAAGGCUGGGCUGUGAUGGGGAGUGAAAAUUACAGUAGCGAAGGUCAUGAUCUCACACUGCCAAGAAAAGCCUCUAGUCAGGAGAAGGUGCCCGUACCGCAAACCGACACAGGUAGGCGAGAAGAGAAUUCUAAGGCGCGCGGNUUAUACAGAUUAGUCCAGGCUGAUCUUUACCAUCAGCUUGGACUUUAUUAUGGCCCGUUGGUCAAGGGGUUAAGACACCUCCCUUUCACGGAGGUAACAGGGGUUCGAAUCCCCUACGGGUCACCACUUUCAUUAAUAGCUUCAAAUGGGGAUGAGAACCCAUCAGGCUUCGUCGGAGCAUUCGCUUCGGUAGGAAUAUAUCGCAGUCUCGUUCGAAGAGCGAGUAUCCCCUAGGAGUCAAUAUUUCAUUAACCUUUAUGGAGGCUUAGCUCAGCUGGGAGAGCAUCUGCCUUACAAGCAGAGGGUCGGGGGUUCGAUCCCCUCAGCCUCCACCAUUUAUUCCAAGUGAAUAUAUUUUACUGACGCGGGGUGGAGCAGCCCGGUAGCUCGUCGGGCUCAUAACCCGAAGGCCGCAGGUUCAAAUCCUGCCCCCGCAAUAAUCCCCAAAAGUGAUGAGAAGCUUUGAAGCCUAUUUUAAUUCUUUCCGGGGAUCAUCUUUACCUAGUGUGGAGCCGUGGUGUAGAGGCCUAACAUGCCUGCCUGUCACGCAGGAGACCGCGGGUUCGAAUCCCGUCGGCUCCGCCAUUUAACAUUCUUGAUAAUAAGAUGAUUCAUUUCUCUUUAUUGAGAGCCAUUAGCUCAGUUGGUAGAGCACCUGACUUUUAAUCAGGGUGUCGAAGGUUCGAGUCCUUCAUGGCUCACCAUUUACCCUGUAUUAAAGGGUAGUAUGUAAGGACAUGUGCGCGUGUGGCGGAAUUGGCAGACGCACUAGACUUAGGAUCUAGCGUCUUUGACGUGGGGGUUCAAGUCCCUCCACGCGCACCAAAUAUGCGGACGUGGCUCAGCGGUAGAGCAUCGCCUUGCCAAGGCGAGGGUCGCGGGUUCGAUUCCCGUCGUCCGCUCCAUAAUGUGCGCCCUUAGCUCAGCUGGAUAGAGCGUUUGACUACGAAUCAAAAGGUCAGGAGUUCGAAUCUCUUAGGGCGCGCCAUUUUCUUAUAGUUGCAUAUGCCGGCGUGGCGGAAUGGCAGACGCGCUCGACUCAAAAUCGAGUGGGAAACCGUGGAGGUUCGAGUCCUCUCGCCGGUAUACUAAAAACGCAAGAUUGACGGGGAUUUAAACGCUGAUUGGACGCAAUGUCUGAUCGGCUUUUUGCGUUUUAAU